CUGCUGCCUCCCGUAGGAGUCUGGUCCGUGUCUCAGUACCAGUGUGGGGGACCUUCCUCUCAGAACCCCUAUCCAUCGUGGACUUGGUGAGCCGUUACCUCACCAACUAUCUAAUGGAACGCAUGCCCAUCUAUCAGCGAUAAUUCUUUAACAAAUAUUUCCAUGUGGAACCCCUGUUUUAUGCGGUAUUAGUCCGACUUUCGCCGGGUUAUUCCCCUCCUGAUAGGUAGGUUGCAUACGCGUUACUCACCCGUGCGCCGGUCCG
Molecule: ribosomal RNA, 265 nt
Filed under: uncultured bacterium
Lineage: Bacteria
Description: partial 16S ribosomal RNA
Source: RNAcentral